CAGCAACGGGACGGAAUGCAAAUG
Molecule: non-coding RNA, 24 nt
Filed under: Cricetulus griseus (Chinese hamster)
Lineage: Eukaryota; Metazoa; Chordata; Mammalia; Rodentia; Cricetidae
Source: RNAcentral